AUGAUCAUUUUAUUUAAAAUCCUCUUCCUCUUUACAGACCAAAGUCAGCAAAACAAACAAAAGCCCAAAACCAAAACUUGUGACUAUGAAAAGAUGAGGGAUCAUGUGGAUUUGAAGAGGGAAUCUAAAGCCAUGGAGGAUAAAGGUUUCUGUGCUGUGCCACAGGGGGAUUUCAGUGCAGAUGUAAAAUCCCUGGGGCAGGAGGAUGGUGCACCCUUGGUGGACAGUCCUAAACCUUUGAUAUUACCCCUGCUGAGAGCCUUGAAUGCUCCGGAAUUCGCGGUGGAUUUCAGCUCCCUGCCCGACGAGGUGAAGGCCCUGGCUCGGGAUGGCUGCAGGUCCCUGCUGGAGCAGCAGUGCCACGGGGCCGAGCGAGCCUUUGCCCAGCUCCUGGCCAUCCUCUACAGCUCAGGAUUUUCGGUAACGGCGGCCAAAUUCCCCUCUGGGUGCCAGUGCACCUCCACCAUCCUCUGCCAAUCCUCCUUUCCCCCAAAAGCAUCAUUAUUUGAUUGA
This 513-nucleotide long non-coding RNA is filed under the name Ficedula albicollis (Collared flycatcher). RNAcentral describes it as "lncRNA (ENSFALG00000025546.1)". Lineage: Eukaryota; Metazoa; Chordata; Aves; Passeriformes; Muscicapidae. The record is from RNAcentral.